Molecule: ribosomal RNA, 339 nt
Filed under: Triticum aestivum (bread wheat)
Lineage: Eukaryota; Viridiplantae; Streptophyta; Magnoliopsida; Poales; Poaceae
Description: partial small subunit ribosomal RNA
Source: RNAcentral
AUGGGAGGCCCGACGCCCCCGUCCCCUCGAGUCCUGGCCGCGCGCCCUCGAGCAUAUCCGUGCCCCCUUGAUCUGCCCCAUGCAGCCGAUCCUCCGCGACGCCGGCCUGACCCCGGUGUCGCCAUGGUAACCAAUGGCCAUGGUGUUCUUCUUGUUGUGCGCGUUCUGCCAUAUCAGUGGCGACAGCAGGAUCGGCGAGCAAGCGGCCACGGCGAGCUUGGCAGUGUUGCCACUCGCCGGCGCUGGCGGAGCAGUCUUGAUCCUGUCGAGUCAUGUUUGCUUCGGUGCCUCGACGCGGUGGCGUUGGUGAUGUGCCGCCAUGGAGCUAGAGCUAGCUAG